CGUCGUGAGACAGGUUAGUUUUACCCUACUGUCUCUUUAGCGCUGUGACAGUAGUCCUGCUUAGUACGAGAGGACCCGCAGGACCGGAUAAACUGUGUUUAUUUGCUGACACGCAAGUGAACAAUGUACAGUGACUAUGCGACAACGGUUGUACGUAAUUGUGUACGUGU
Molecule: unclassified non-coding RNA, 170 nt
Filed under: Kudoa hexapunctata
Lineage: Eukaryota; Metazoa; Cnidaria; Myxozoa; Multivalvulida; Kudoidae
Description: partial miscellaneous RNA
Rfam family: Eukaryotic large subunit ribosomal RNA
Source: RNAcentral